Molecule: unclassified non-coding RNA, 345 nt
Filed under: soil metagenome
Description: partial contains 5.8S ribosomal RNA, internal transcribed spacer 2, and large subunit ribosomal RNA
Rfam family: 5.8S ribosomal RNA (bases 1-119)
Source: RNAcentral
GAUGAAGAACGUAGCGAAAUGCGAUACGUAAUGUGAAUUGCAAAUUCAGUGAAUCAUCGAGUCUUUGAACGCACAUUGCGCCCCCUGGUAUUCCGGGGGGCAUGCCUGUCCGAGCGUCAUUGCUGCCCUCAAGCACGGCUUGUGUGUUGGGCCCCGUCCUCCGAUCCCGGGGGACGGGCCCGAAAGGCAGCGGCGGCACCGCGUCCGGUCCUCGAGCGUAUGGGGCUUUGUCACCCGCUCUGUAGGCCCGGCCGGCGCUUGCCGAUCAACCCAAAUUUUUAUCCAGGUUGACCUCGGAUCAGGUAGGGAUACCCGCUGAACUUUAGCAUAUCAAUAAGCGGAGGA